Molecule: ribosomal RNA, 253 nt
Filed under: Petrotoga sp. SL27
Lineage: Bacteria; Thermotogati; Thermotogota; Thermotogae; Petrotogales; Petrotogaceae
Description: partial 23S ribosomal RNA
Rfam family: Bacterial large subunit ribosomal RNA
Source: RNAcentral
AUAAGCUUCAUGGUCGAGAGGGAAAGAGCCCAGACCGACAGCUAAGGUUCCGAAGAAGCGGCUAAGUGUGAAAGGAAGUGGACCUCUUAAGACAGCCGGGAGGUUGGCUUAGAAGCAGCCAUCCUUGAAAGAGUGCGUAACAGCUCACCGGUAGAAGAGGACUGCGCCGAAAAUGUAACGGAGCUAAAGCCGCGCACCGAAGCUACGGUAUAGCCGAAAGGCUAUAGGUAGGGGAGCGAUGUGCGAGGGAGAA